RNAcentral lists this long non-coding RNA (1876 nucleotides) under Mus musculus (house mouse). RNAcentral describes it as "predicted gene 15232 (Gm15232)". The record is from RNAcentral. Lineage: Eukaryota; Metazoa; Chordata; Mammalia; Rodentia; Muridae.
AGCAGCCCAUGAAACUAGAAGGGGGAUCAGAGAGCAGACAGAACCACACAUAUGGCUUUUAACCGACUGUAUCUUUCUUCCUGACAGCAAAAGUUUGGAGGUGUGUUGGAGGGUUCUUUUUGGCAUCUGUCCAUCUGUUGGAGACAAAGUUUCUCAUUGGCCGGAAACCUCACCACAAAGUCUCAUAGAUCUUGAAGUGCUCAUGCAGUCAAGCAAGAAGAAGAAGAAGAAGAAGAAGAAGAAGAAGAAGAAGAAGAAGAAGAAGAAGAAGAAGAAGAAGAAGACCCAAUGGGCGUGAGGUCUGAUUUUCAACAUGAAAACCCAAAGCAUUCUUUUAUAACUUUUUUUGAUCACUGUGUAAAUAGUUCAGACGAACUCUUUUUUGAAAGGGCAAUAUUGUGCACAGUUGUUUUUAUUUGAUUAAGCUUCAGGACUAAUUUGUAAAGUGCUGUGGGAUAGACUUGUCAAGCUCAAGCCAAGCAAAGAUCAUUCAGUCUCCACCCUCUCUCACAUUACUCUGAAAGAACAUGUUUUUAGAACACAGUCACUCCCCUCUCCCCUUUCCUUCAACUCUGAUGUAUUGUGGCAUAUCAGAGAAUUAAGCAGCAUAGGGAUGGGUAAAAGGAUCACAGGGACAACAAACACAUCCAAGUUUAUGGAGCUAAGUUUCACCAGUUCAUCUCAACCCAAUCUUUUGAUACUGAAACUAGAAAGAGACUUUUUAGAGCAGGGGUGGUUAGAUGGUAGAAUGCCUGCCUAACUAACAUGCUAGAGGCCCCGAGUUCCCACCUCAGGGUUAAAAACACAUUUCACAGUCAAAAAGAAAGAGACGGUUGUGGAACAAGGCAAAUUUCACUCUUGAUCAAUAGGUUGUGCUCAGAGGAAUGAACACACAGAGACAGGAAGUACACUUGGUUUUAUUCUAACACAGGUGGUAUCUGUGUCAUUUCCUCCUUGGCUGAGGUCUGACCUCGGAGUCUUAUUUGAUUGGCUAGUCUGAAAAGAAUUUGUGCAGAGGAAAUGAAGGAGGGAGGGGGAAAGGGCUGUUGUUCUAAAGGGAAAAGGGUCACUGCUUCAGGCCACCAAAUUCCUGGAAUGUAGCUGGGAGCUUUCAUAUGAACAAAGAUUUUGCUGGACAGGAGGGGGAUUAAAACUUUUACAUAAAAGUCAUACAAGGUACAGAAGAUUUAUAUAUAUAUUUGAAUUCCUUGUCUUAAAACACAAACUUUAUACUAUUUGAUUAGAAAAGGCUCAUACUUAGUAUUUCUUAUACUAGCACCAUCAAAACAAACUGAACAUCCAAAUAUCAAAUGGAGUGCUUGUUACACCCAAGUGAGAUGCUAUUAGAAGUCGAAGCUGAUUGUACAGAGAUUCAGUGAGCUCAGAAGAAACAGAGCUAUAUAUAGAAGCAUGACUCUCCUGUUAUUUCUGAAGGCUGCAUUUACACAGUAAGGAUGCAGAUAAUGCAAUUAGUCAUGGCAUUGAUGGGCUGUCUACCGUUUUCCAGAUCCCUUGUUGGGUACUGGGUAUUUAGCACCUCAUGAAACUUCCAAAUUUGUAGGGGGUAGAAAGCUGAGGCUUUAAGUAAAAAGCUGAAAAGAUAGAUAUGGAAGUCACCAGGCAAGGUGAUGAGGGGUUUGCAAUGGAUUAACAGCCUGGUUGGCAGAGUGCUUGCUUGGCAUGUGUGAAUCCCUGGGUUUGAUCCCUAUGACAGCAUCAAACUGCAUGUGGUGCUGUAUAUUAGCCCUUGGGAACAGGGAAGAGGAUUAGAAGUUCAUGGCUGAUGUUGGUUAUAUAUGGAAUUUGAAGCCAGCCUGAGAUUCCUGAGACCUGACAAUGAAUGAAUACAUCAAUAAAUUAAUAAAUAAGAAAGAUA